RNAcentral lists this ribosomal RNA (253 nucleotides) under uncultured bacterium. Its description in RNAcentral is "partial 16S ribosomal RNA". It matches the Rfam family "Bacterial small subunit ribosomal RNA", at positions 524 to 776 of the family's 1533-position model. The record is from RNAcentral.
UACGUAGGGUGCAAGCGUUGUCCGGAAUUAUUGGGCGUAAAGAGCUCGUAGGCGGUUCGUCGCGUCGGCUGUGAAAACCCGGAGCUCAACUCCGGGCCUGCAGUCGAUACGGGCGGACUCGAGUUCGGCAGGGGAGACUGGAAUUCCUGGUGUAGCGGUGAAAUGCGUAGAUAUCAGGAGGAACACCGGUGGUGUAGACGGCUAUCUGGACCGUAACUGACGCUGAGGCACGAAAGCGUGGGUAGCAAACAGG